RNAcentral lists this ribosomal RNA (439 nucleotides) under uncultured bacterium. RNAcentral's name for it is "partial 16S ribosomal RNA". It matches the Rfam family "Bacterial small subunit ribosomal RNA", at positions 339 to 795 of the family's 1533-position model. The record is from RNAcentral.
CUACGGGUUGCACCAGUGAGGAAUAUUGCACAAUGGGGGGAACCCUGAUGCAGCAACGCCGCGUGGAGGAUGACGCAUUUCGGUGUGUAAACUCCUUUUAUAUGUCAAGAAAAUGACGGUAGCAUAUGAAUAAGCACCGGCUAACUCCGUGCCAGCAGCCGCGGUAAUACGGAGGGUGCAAGCGUUACUCGGAAUCACUGGGCGUAAAGGACGCGUAGGCGGGUUGGAAAGUCAGGUGUGAAAUCCUACAGCUUAACUGUAGAACUGCACUUGAAACUUCUAAUCUAGAGUAUGGGAGGGGGAGAUGGAAUUAGUGGUGUAGGGGUAAAAUCCGUAGAUAUCACUAGGAAUACCGAAAGCGAAGGCGAUCUGCUGGAACAUAACUGACGCUGAGGCGUGAAAGCGUGGGGAGCAAACAGGAUUAGAUACCCGUGUAGUC